UACGGAGGGUGCAAGCGUUAUCCGGAAUCACUGGGUUUAAAGGGUGCGUAGGCUGUUUUAUAAGUCAGCGGUGAAAGGUGUCGGCUCAACCGACGAACUGCCGUUGAUACUGUUUAACUAGAAUUGGGAUGAGGUAACUAGAAUGUAACAUGUAGCGGUGAAAUGCUUAGAUAUGUUAUAGAACACCAAUUGCGAAGGCAGGUUACUGGACCUUGAUUGACGCUGAGGCACGAAAGCGUGGGUAGCGAACAGG
RNAcentral lists this ribosomal RNA (253 nucleotides) under uncultured bacterium. RNAcentral's name for it is "partial 16S ribosomal RNA". It matches the Rfam family "Bacterial small subunit ribosomal RNA", at positions 524 to 776 of the family's 1533-position model. The record is from RNAcentral.